This 499-nucleotide long non-coding RNA is filed under the name Equus caballus (horse). RNAcentral describes it as "lncRNA (ENSECAG00000042720.2)". The record is from RNAcentral. Lineage: Eukaryota; Metazoa; Chordata; Mammalia; Perissodactyla; Equidae.
AAAACCAUUCCUGUUCUACGAAGUUGUGAUACUUUAUAUGCGGCGCUGCAUCCUUCCUUGUGUUUUGAGGUCACGGUCUUAUUUUUAUUUUAUUUUAUUUUUUGCUGAGGAAGAUUCAACCUGAGCUAACAGCUGUGCCAACCUUCCUUUAUUUUGUAUGUGGGAUGCUGCCACAGCAUGGCUGAUGACAAGUGGUGUAGGUCUAUGCCUGGGAACCAAACCUCAGCCUCCAAAGCAGAGUGUACUGAACUUAACCACUAGGCCACGGGGUUAUGAAACUGAGAAAGCUGGCACAGCAGGUGUUGGCCCACUGCCGGGGUCUCAAAUGCCACAUCUCUCAAUUCUGUUGGGAACAGCUGCCCCUGAAGACAUCACCAGCCACAGCAACUCCGCCAGAGAGACCGUCCUGAGGCUUCCUGGAGCCCUGCUCGUCUCUUUGGUCCACAGUCCUCUGGAGGCCCCGCCGAGGCCAGGCCGGACCCCCCGCACCCCCCAUUAC